AACGAACGCUGGCGGCAUGCCUAACACAUGCAAGUCGAACGAGACCUUCGGGUCUAGUGGCGCACGGGUGCGUAACGCGUGGGAAUCUGCCCUUUGCUUCGGAAUAACAGUUAGAAAUGACUGCUAAUACCGGAUGAUGUCUUCGGACCAAAGAUUUAUCGGCAAAGGAUGAGCCCGCGUAGGAUUAGGUAGUUGGUGGGGUAAAGGCCUACCAAGCCGACGAUCCUUAGCUGGUCUGAGAGGAUGAUCAGCCACACUGGGACUGAGACACGGCCCAGACUCCUACGGGAGGCAGCAGUGGGGAAUAUUGGACAAUGGGCGAAAGCCUGAUCCAGCAAUGCCGCGUGAGUGAUGAAGGCCUUCGGGUCGUAAAGCUCUUUUACCAGGGAUGAUAAUGACAGUACCUGGAGAAUAAGCUCCGGCUAACUCCGUGCCAGCAGCCGCGGUAAU
This 450-nucleotide ribosomal RNA is filed under the name uncultured bacterium. RNAcentral describes it as "bacterial SSU rRNA". It matches the Rfam family "Bacterial small subunit ribosomal RNA", at positions 29 to 524 of the family's 1533-position model. The record is from RNAcentral.